RNAcentral lists this ribosomal RNA (244 nucleotides) under Salmonella enterica. RNAcentral describes it as "partial 16S ribosomal RNA". It matches the Rfam family "Bacterial small subunit ribosomal RNA", at positions 1 to 242 of the family's 1533-position model. The record is from RNAcentral. Lineage: Bacteria; Pseudomonadati; Pseudomonadota; Gammaproteobacteria; Enterobacterales; Enterobacteriaceae.
AAAUUGAAGAGUUUGAUCAUGGCUCAGAUUGAACGCUGGCGGCAGGCCUAACACAUGCAAGUCGAACGGUAACAGGAAGCAGCUUGCUGCUUUGCUGACGAGUGGCGGACGGGUGAGUAAUGUCUGGGAAACUGCCUGAUGGAGAGGGAUAACUACUGGAAACGGUGGCUAAUACCGCAUAACGUCGCAAGACCAAAGAGGGGGACCUUCGGCCUCUUGCCAUCAGAUGUGCCCAGAUGGGAUU